AUAUCAAUAAGCGGAGGAAAAGAAACCAACAGGGAUUGCCUCAGUAACGGCGAGUGAAGCGGCAAUAGCUCAAAUUUGAAAGCUGGCGUCUUCGACGUCCGCGUUGUAAUUUGUAGAGGAUGCUUCGGCGAAGACUCCUGCCUAAGUCCCCUGGAACGGGGCGUCAUAGAGGGUGAGAAUCCCGUAUGUGGCGGGCAGUCUAAGCCAUGUGAAGCUCCUUCGACGAGUCGAGUUGUUUGGGAAUGCAGCUCUAAAUGGGAGGUAAAUUUCUUCUAAAGCUAAAUAUUGGCCAGAGACCGAUAGCGCACAAGUAGAGUGAUCGAAAGAUGAAAAGCACUUUGGAAAGAGAGUUAAAAAGUACGUGAAAUUGUUGAAAGGGAAGCGCUUGCAACCAGACUCGCUCGUAGUUGCUCAGCCGGCCUCUUGGCCGGUGUACUCUUCUACGAUCGGGCCAGCAUCAGUUCGGGCGGCAGGAUAAAGGUGUCGGGAAUGUAGCACCCUUCGGGGUGUGUUAUAGCCCGGCGCGGAAUGCUGCCAGCCUGGACUGAGGAUCUCGCUUCGGCAAGGAUGCUGGCGUAAUGGUUGUAAGCGGCCCGUCUUGAAACACGGACCAAGGAGUCUAACAUCUAUGCGAGUGUUUGGGUGUCAAACCCAUGCGCGUAAUGAAAGUGAACGGAGGUGGGAACCCCUCACGGGGUGCACCAUCGACCGAUCCUGAUGUCUUCGGAUGGAUUUGAGUAAGAGCAUAGCUGUUGGGACCCGAAAGAUGGUGAACUAUGCCUGAAUAGGGUGAAGCCAGAGGAAACUCUGGUGGAGGCUCGCAGCGGUUCUGACGUGCAAAUCGAUCGUCAAAUUUGGGUAUAGGGGCGAAAGACUAAUCGAACCAUCUAGUAGCUGGUUCCUGC
RNAcentral lists this ribosomal RNA (905 nucleotides) under Phyllosticta capitalensis. RNAcentral describes it as "partial large subunit ribosomal RNA". It matches the Rfam family "Eukaryotic large subunit ribosomal RNA", at positions 40 to 961 of the family's 3401-position model. Lineage: Eukaryota; Fungi; Ascomycota; Dothideomycetes; Botryosphaeriales; Phyllostictaceae. The record is from RNAcentral.